RNAcentral lists this ribosomal RNA (543 nucleotides) under Triticum aestivum (bread wheat). RNAcentral describes it as "partial small subunit ribosomal RNA". Lineage: Eukaryota; Viridiplantae; Streptophyta; Magnoliopsida; Poales; Poaceae. The record is from RNAcentral.
AUGCUCAUGUACGUCGACUGUCUUGAUCUGUCCAUCGUGGAUUUCACUGGGACAGCAGGCCCGCCGCCUACACACAAGUUUUCUGUUUCUGCGUGGACUAUCGAUGCUAUCAAGGCUGUGCUUGCUGCAGACAGGAUAACUGAUACCAAAUAUGGAAAACUGCAGCUGAUGGCCAAGCAUGCUAUAGACUACAAUGUGUUUGGGGGGCCUCAAAACUUUGGAAAGUGGAUGGACGUGCACUCAGCUCCGUCUUGCCCUACUGAGGAGAGGGCACCUGUUGAGCAUCUAAUUGGGCAGUUUGCAUCCGGAAUGACCGGCUUGCUCGGGAAGUUGGUUGAGGGGUGGACGUCCCUUAAUGGCUCCGACAGCGACGCGGUUGCGAGGCAGUUCACUACAUUUGUCCCAGAACGGACACAUCGGCCAACUGGUUGCCGUGGCCGGUAUGACUACAACAGUUCCCAAGAGCUUGCUGACACACAAGAUGAACUAGAUGGAGACGCUGGUCUCAGCAAGGAUGACGAUGAUGACAUGGAGAACGCGUAA